CCGUAAAAAGCGGCCGGCGCUCGGGCGGGUUUUGUUUAAAGAUACAGAUGUUGAAAUUCCCCGGGCUGCAACCUGGCAGCUGCAAUCUGUAACUGGCAAGCUAGAGUGCGGCAGAGGGAGGGUGGAUUUACCUCGUGUAGCAGUGAAAUGCGUAGAUAUGUGGAGGAACACCGAUGGAGAAGGCGAUCCCCCUGGAGCGCAGUACUGACGCUCAUGCGCGAAAGCGUGGGGAGCAAACAGGAUUAGAUACCUUGGUAGUCCACGCCCUAAAAUGAUGUCAAUUUGGAGGUUGGGACUUAGUUUUGUCGGUUACGAAGCUAACGCGUGAAGUAGACCGCCUGGGGAGUACGGCCGCAAGGUUAAAACUCAAAUGAAUUGACGGGGACCCGCACAAGCGGUGGAUGAUGUGGUUUAAUUCGAUGCAACGCGAAAAACCUUACCCACUUUUGACAUCCAGGGAAGUUUCCAGAGAUGGAUUUGUGCUUUAGAGAAAUCUUACACACAGGUGUUUAUAUGUUUUUGUCUGCUCUUGUUUUGAAAGAUGGGGGUUUAACUCCCACCAAGAGCGCCCCCUUUCUCUUUAGUUGAUACAUUCAGCUGGGCACUCUAAUGAGACUGCCGGUGACAAACCGGAGGAAGGUGGGGAUGACGUCAAGUCUUCAUGGCCCUUAUGGGUGGGGCUACACACGUCAUACAAUGGUUGGUACAGAGGGUUGCCAACCCGCGAGGGGGAGCUAAUCCCAUAAAACCAGUCGUAGUCCGGAUCGCAGUCUGCAACUCGACUGCGUGAAGUCGGAAUCGCUAGUAAUCGCGGAUCAGCAUGCCGCGGGGAAUACGUUCCCCGGUCCUGGACACACCCCCCGUCACCCCCAGGGAAGGGGGCUGCCCAAAAAUAGGUAACCUAACCCCAAGGAGGGCUCCUAUCCUACUCCCCCCACG
Molecule: ribosomal RNA, 939 nt
Filed under: bacterium W35
Lineage: Bacteria
Description: bacterial SSU rRNA
Rfam family: Bacterial small subunit ribosomal RNA
Source: RNAcentral